AACAUAAGUACAAUCCAAAUCCUAUCUUUUAAAAUGGCAAUACCAAAAAAUUGAUGGAAAACUAAUGAAAAAAUUGUGAAAGAGAAAUUUACUUUCUACUCUGGGUAAAAAAAAAACACCUUUUUCUGAAUAAGUUUUCAGUGCUGAGUCAGAUCAAUUUGCACCUUAGGUGCAAUACAAUGAAACUUUACUAUAUAUUUACUUACUUUUAGUAAAGACAGCAUCUUCUUGAGAGUUAUCAGUCUGAUAAGUUCUAUCAGAAACCGUUCCAUCAUCUCUCUGUAACAAAUACUUGAAAUUAAGUUAUCAG
Long non-coding RNA from Limulus polyphemus (Atlantic horseshoe crab), 310 nucleotides. RefSeq lists it as uncharacterized. NCBI's taxonomy places the organism in Eukaryota, Metazoa, Arthropoda, Merostomata, Xiphosura, Limulidae. The record is from RefSeq and is a predicted model, not a curated record. The transcript has 3 exons.